Molecule: non-coding RNA, 102 nt
Filed under: Clostridium fallax
Lineage: Bacteria; Bacillati; Bacillota; Clostridia; Eubacteriales; Clostridiaceae
Description: Guanine sequence
Rfam family: Purine riboswitch aptamer
About the family: Riboswitches are metabolite binding domains within certain messenger RNAs that serve as precision sensors for their corresponding targets.
Source: Rfam by way of RNAcentral
AUUUAAAAAUCGCUAAUAGCUCAUAUAUUUCUGAUAAUAUGGUUCAGAAGUCUCUACGAGGUAACCGUAAAAAUCCUCUCUAUGAGUAAACUAACUGGUAUU